AGAGGACUUAGCUUAAUUAAAGUAUUCGAUUUGCGUUCGAUUGAUGCAAGGUAGAGUCUUGUAGUUCUUA
RNAcentral lists this transfer RNA (70 nucleotides) under Dasykaluta rosamondae (little red kaluta). RNAcentral describes it as "tRNA-Ala". It matches the Rfam family "tRNA". Rfam says of the family: Transfer RNA (tRNA) molecules are approximately 80 nucleotides in length. Their secondary structure includes four short double-helical elements and three loops (D, anti-codon, and T loops). Lineage: Eukaryota; Metazoa; Chordata; Mammalia; Dasyuromorphia; Dasyuridae. The record is from RNAcentral.